Molecule: microRNA precursor, 63 nt
Filed under: Drosophila ananassae
Lineage: Eukaryota; Metazoa; Arthropoda; Insecta; Diptera; Drosophilidae
Description: Dan-Novel-19_pre stem-loop
Source: RNAcentral
AUCCCUAAUGAGAGCUAUUUUCAUUAAUUUUUCGAAAAUGAUAAUAUCUCUGUGUUAGGGUGA